GUGCUCCCUUCAGUAGCACAUGAACUAAAAUUGGAACAAUACAGAGAAGAUCCCUGCGCCAGGAUGACGGGCAAAUUCGCGAAGCGUUCCCCAUUUUC
This is a small nuclear RNA of Ailuropoda melanoleuca (giant panda), 98 nucleotides long. The record is from Ensembl. Lineage: Eukaryota; Metazoa; Chordata; Mammalia; Carnivora; Ursidae.